This 73-nucleotide transfer RNA is filed under the name Paracalyx scariosus. Its description in RNAcentral is "tRNA-Glu". The record is from RNAcentral. Lineage: Eukaryota; Viridiplantae; Streptophyta; Magnoliopsida; Fabales; Fabaceae.
UGGAUUUCCCGGCUUAGUAUGAGGGAUAAAUAUACCUAUCGAAUCUUAAUAAUGAACGAAAGAAAGUGAAAGA